UGGGGAAUAUUGGGCAAUGGAGGGAACUCUGACCCAGCGACGCCGCGUGCGGGAUGAAGGCCUUCGGGUUGUAAACCGCUUUCAGCAAGGAAGAAGCGAAAGUGACGGUACUUGCAGAAGAAGCACCGGCUAACUAUGUGCCAGCAGCCGCGGUAAUACAUAGGGUGCAAGCGUUGUCCGGAAUUAUUGGGCGUAAAGAGCUCGUAGGUGGUUCGUCACGUCGGAUGUGAAAAUCUGGGGCUUAACCCCAGACCUGCAUUCGAUACGGGCGAGCUAGAGUGUGGUAGGGGAGACUGGAAUUCCUGGUGUAGCGGUGGAAUGCGCAGAUAUCAGGAGGAACACCAAUGGCGAAGGCAGGUCUCUGGGCCAUUACUGACACUGAGGAGCGAAAGCGUGGGGAGCGAACAGGAUUAGAUACCCUGGUAGUCCACGCCGUAAACGGUGGGCACUAGUCGUGGGAACCUUCCACGGUUUCUGCGACGCAGCUAACGCAUUAAGUGCCCCGCCUGGGGAGUACGAUCGCAAGAUUA
Molecule: ribosomal RNA, 530 nt
Filed under: uncultured prokaryote
Description: bacterial SSU rRNA
Rfam family: Bacterial small subunit ribosomal RNA
Source: RNAcentral